RNAcentral lists this ribosomal RNA (1170 nucleotides) under uncultured Bacteroides sp. Its description in RNAcentral is "bacterial SSU rRNA". It matches the Rfam family "Bacterial small subunit ribosomal RNA", at positions 10 to 1176 of the family's 1533-position model. Lineage: Bacteria; Pseudomonadati; Bacteroidota; Bacteroidia; Bacteroidales; Bacteroidaceae. The record is from RNAcentral.
AGUUUGAUCCUGGCUCAGGAUGAACGCUAGCUACAGGCUUAACACAUGCAAGUCGAGGGGCAGCAUCAUCAAAGCUUGCUUUGAUGGAUGGCGACCGGCGCACGGGUGAGUAACACGUAUCCAACCUGCCGACAACACUGGGAUAGCCUUUCGAAAGAAAGAUUAAUACCGGAUGGCAUAGUUUUCCCGCAUGGGAUAAUUAUUAAAGAAUUUCGGUUGUCGAUGGGGAUGCGUUCCAUUAGGCAGUUGGCGGGGUAACGGCCCACCAAACCUACGAUGGAUAGGGGUUCUGAGAGGAAGGUCCCCCACAUUGGAACUGAGACACGGUCCAAACUCCUACGGGAGGCAGCAGUGAGGAAUAUUGGUCAAUGGACGAGAGUCUGAACCAGCCAAGUAGCGUGAAGGAUGACUGCCCUAUGGGUUGUAAACUUCUUUUAUACGGGAAUAAAGUUAGCCACGUGUGGUUUUUUGUAUGUACCGUAUGAAUAAGGAUCGGCUAACUCCGUGCCAGCAGCCGCGGUAAUACGGAGGAUCCGAGCGUUAUCCGGAUUUAUUGGGUUUAAAGGGAGCGUAGGCGGGUUGUUAAGUCAGUUGUGAAAGUUUGCGGCUCAACCGUAAAAUUGCAGUUGAUACUGGCGACCUUGAGUGCAACAGAGGUAGGCGGAAUUCGUGGUGUAGCGGUGAAAUGCUUAGAUAUCACGAAGAACUCCGAUUGCGAAGGCAGCUUACUGGAUUGUAACUGACGCUGAUGCUCGAAAGUGUGGGUAUCAAACAGGAUUAGAUACCCUGGUAGUCCACACAGUAAACGAUGAGUACUCGCUGUUGGCGAUAUACGGUCAGCGGCCAAGCGAAAGCAUUAAGUAUUCCACCUGGGGAGUACGCCGGCAACGGUGAAACUCAAAGGAAUUGACGGGGGCCCGCACAAGCGGAGGAACAUGUGGUUUAAUUCGAUGAUACGCGAGGAACCUUACCCGGGCUUAAAUUGCAACUGACUGAACCGGAGACGGUUCUUUCUUCGGACAGUUGUGAAGGUGCUGCAUGGUUGUCGUCAGCUCGUGCCGUGAGGUGUCGGCUUAAGUGCCAUAACGAGCGCAACCCUUAUCGAUAGUUACUAGCAGGUCAUGCUGAGGACUCUAUUGAGACUGCCGUCGUAAGAUGUGAGGAAGGUGG